GAUGCCCCUAGAAGCCUUGAAGGUAUGGGUUCUGUCUCACAUGUGUGUCAUUACAUUAGGUGGUAGAGAGGAGAGAAGCUAUGUCUACUUAUAAUGCUCUGACCUAUGACUAUCUGAGGAAUUAGUAGCAUAACAUU
Molecule: small nucleolar RNA, 137 nt
Organism: Apodemus sylvaticus (European woodmouse)
Lineage: Eukaryota; Metazoa; Chordata; Mammalia; Rodentia; Muridae
Product: small nucleolar RNA SNORA17
Exons: 1
Source: RefSeq, a predicted model, not a curated record